RNAcentral lists this ribosomal RNA (254 nucleotides) under uncultured bacterium. RNAcentral describes it as "partial 16S ribosomal RNA". It matches the Rfam family "Bacterial small subunit ribosomal RNA", at positions 524 to 776 of the family's 1533-position model. The record is from RNAcentral.
UACGAAGGGUGCAAGCGUUACUCGGAAUUACUGGGCGUAAAGGGCGCGUAGGCGGCAAUUCAAGUCAUCUGUGAAAUCUCCGGGCUUAACUCGGAACGGUCAGAUGAUACUGCUUUGCUAGAGUGCGGAAGGGGCAAUCGGAAUUCUUGGUGUAGCGGUGAAAUGCGUAGAUAUCAAGAGGAACACCUGAGGUGAAGACGGGUUGCUGGGCCGACACUGACGCUGAUAGCGCGAAAGCCAGGGGAGCAAACGGG